This 373-nucleotide ribosomal RNA is filed under the name uncultured organism. RNAcentral describes it as "bacterial SSU rRNA". It matches the Rfam family "Bacterial small subunit ribosomal RNA", at positions 526 to 896 of the family's 1533-position model. The record is from RNAcentral.
CGUAGGGUCCAAGCGUUGUCCGGAUUUACUGGGCGUAAAGAGCGCGUAGGCGGUCUGUUAAGUGUGAAGUGAAAUCUCUAGGGCUCAACCCAGAAACUGCUUUACAUACUGCCAGACUUGAGUGAUGAAGAGGUUUGUGGAAUUCCUGGUGUAGCGGUGAAAUGCGUUGAUAUCAGGAGGAACACCCAUGGCGAAGGCAGCAAACUGGUCAUCAACUGACGCUGAGGCGCGAAAGCGUGGGUAGCAAACAGGAUUAGAUACCCUGGUAGUCCACGCCCUAAACGAUGGAUACUAGGCGUAAGAGGUAUCGACCCCUCUUGUGCCGCAGCUAACGCAUUAAGUAUCCCGCCUGGGGAGUACGGCCGCAAGGUUG